UACGAAGGGUGCAAGCGUUACUCGGAAUUACUGGGCGUAAAGCGUGCGUAGGCGGUUUGUUAAGUCUGUCGUGAAAGCCCCGGGCUCAACCUGGGAAUGGCGAUGGAUACUGGCGAGCUAGAGUACGGUAGAGGAGAGUGGAAUUCCCGGUGUAGCAGUGAAAUGCGUAGAGAUCGGGAGGAACAUCAGUUGCGAAGGCGGCUCUCUGGACCAGUACUGACGCUGAGGCACGAAAGCUAGGGGAGCAAACAGG
This 253-nucleotide ribosomal RNA is filed under the name uncultured bacterium. RNAcentral's name for it is "partial 16S ribosomal RNA". It matches the Rfam family "Bacterial small subunit ribosomal RNA", at positions 524 to 776 of the family's 1533-position model. The record is from RNAcentral.